RNAcentral lists this ribosomal RNA (253 nucleotides) under uncultured bacterium. RNAcentral describes it as "partial 16S ribosomal RNA". It matches the Rfam family "Bacterial small subunit ribosomal RNA", at positions 524 to 776 of the family's 1533-position model. The record is from RNAcentral.
UACGUAGGGGGCUAGCGUUGUCCGGAUUUAUUGGGCGUAAAGAGCGUGUAGGCGGCCAGGUAGGUCUGGUGUGAAAACUCGAGGCUUAACCUCGAGAUGUCAUCGGAAACCAUCUGGCUAGAGUCCGGGAGAGGAGAGUGGAAUUCCUGGUGUAGCGGUGAAAUGCGCAGAUAUCAGGAAGAACACCCGUGGCGAAAGCGGCUCUCUGGAACGGUACUGACGCUGAGACGCGAAAGCGUGGGGAGCGAACAGG